RNAcentral lists this ribosomal RNA (414 nucleotides) under crenarchaeote SCGC AAA288-K09. Its description in RNAcentral is "SSU rRNA". It matches the Rfam family "Archaeal small subunit ribosomal RNA", at positions 464 to 878 of the family's 1478-position model. The record is from RNAcentral. Lineage: Archaea; Thermoproteati; Thermoproteota.
GCCGCGGUAAAACCAGCACCUCAAGUGGUCAGGAUGAUUAUUGGGCCUAAAGCAUCCGUAGCCUGCUUUGUUAGUUUUCGGUUAAAUCCAUGUGCUUAACGCAUGGGCUGCCGAAAAUACUGCAAAGCUAGGGAGUGGGAGAGGUAGACGGUACUCAGUAGGAAGGGGUAAAAUCCUUUGAUCUAUUGAUGACCACCUGUGGCGAAGGCGGUCUACCAGAACACGUUCGACGGUGAGGGAUGAAAGCUGGGGGAGCAAACCGGAUUAGAUACCCGGGUAGUCCCAGCUGUAAACGAUGCAGACUCGAUGAUGCGUUGGCAUAUAGCCAGUGCAGUGUCGCAGGGAAGCCGUUAAGUCUGCCGCCUGGGAAGUACGUACGCAAGUAUGAAACUUAAAGGAAUUGGCGGGGGAGCA